CCCCCCCCCCCCCCCCCCCCCCCCCCCCCCCCCCCCCCCCCCCCCCCCCCCCCCCCCCCCCCCCCCCCCCCCCCCCCCCCCCCCCCCCCCCCCCCCCCCCCCCCCCCCCCAAAAAAAAAAAAAAAAAAAAAUCUGUUCUGUUAAAUGCCAUAUAGGAAAGACCAAAAGAUCAGAUCAAACAAAGGGCAGCCCAUGGUGCAGUUGCAGGAACUUCUGUACUCUGUACAGAAGUGCAAAUCACAUCUGGAAUGUCCUCUAACAAUCUCAAGACUUUUUCAAAAGGAGACACAGAGAGGGAGACAUCCCAGAGAAUGAUUUCAGAUUGUGAAGGCAUUCAACAUGCAUGUUUUUAAGGCUCUUAAGAGAACAGUUUGCCUGCACACCUGGAGAUCUCACAUCUGUGUUUGCAGUCUGGGAGCCAACAGCUGCCUGAUUGUAUUCACUCAGAAUGGAGAGUUCCUGCUUCAUGGGAAACCACGGUGACCCUGACUGUGGCAUCGUCACAACUUCUCCAGUCGAAUGAGAGCAGUUGGGUGGGCAGCUGGCCACAGAGACAGCCCACCACAAUCACAACAGAAAUUGUUACACUUGAGGAAUCACUCUGGGUAAGUACAGCUACUCAGCUUGCUUAUUUUUACCACUCCAAGCUAUAUGUGCUUAGUUGCCAUGUUUUGCUUCUGCAGACAAAUUGCCACCCAAUUGUUUCUACAACUGUGCAGAUGUACAGUGAACUCAGAAGACAUUCAGAGAAGCUGCAGCUCACUCUGUUCCCAUCAAUAAGCUGCUUUCCUGCAGCUUCUGCAAACUGCUAAUUCAAUUUAGAAUUAAAAGCUUUCAGAUACCUUUAAGGUAAAAUUAAAGAUCAGAUAUUGGCAUGCAAAGUUUGAAUUGCUUCCCCAUCUAGGACCCAGGUUUGUUUUUUUUUCCAGAGACCUUUUAAUAUUUUGUCCUAUGCUGACCUAAAGGAGU
Molecule: long non-coding RNA, 969 nt
Filed under: Ficedula albicollis (Collared flycatcher)
Lineage: Eukaryota; Metazoa; Chordata; Aves; Passeriformes; Muscicapidae
Description: lncRNA (ENSFALG00000026659.1)
Source: RNAcentral